Molecule: unclassified non-coding RNA, 2534 nt
Filed under: Hevea brasiliensis (rubber tree)
Lineage: Eukaryota; Viridiplantae; Streptophyta; Magnoliopsida; Malpighiales; Euphorbiaceae
Source: RNAcentral
AAAAAUUUAAAUAAUUUAUCAGCAAGUAUAUUGACUUCUUUUGAAAUAACUGUGAUUUGUAUUUGUAGCCAUUAGAAGUUUUACAUGCUUUUGCAAUUGUUAUCCUAUGAAUUGCAAAAGAAAAGGGCAUAGCCAAUGUGUCAACCAAUGACAGGCUAAUGUGAAUCUAUGAAAUUUAACCAUAUUAGCAUUACAAAAAGUGUCAAGUCUUUUCUUAACACGAGCUAGUUCGAUAAAUAAGUAAUCGAAUUAGCACUAAAAAAAAAAAAAAGACAAAAAGAGAGAAAUAUUUUAAGCAUAUACAAGGACUGUAACAGUGUAAAGAAGGAAACCUAUUGCACAGUAGAGGUGGAUCUUUUCUGCACUAAUGAUAAAAUGACAGUUACAUCAUCAAGCUUGCCGCCGGUAUAUCCUACAUAACCAGCCGCUUGGGCUGCAUCGGCGAAUGGACUUCUUAUGGAUGAUGACUGCCCCACUUCUUGAGCACUCGCGGCUAACAAUUCUGCUAUUUCCUGCAGCUUCAAACUAGCUUCCAGUGAUUUGGAGAUGAUUGAAGCUAUUUCUUGAUUGUAUAGAUUGUCAAAAAGGCCAUCUGUAGCAAUGAUGACAAUGUCACCCUCAUGCAGAUCAAUUUUAUAUUCCUCCACAAGUUCAGAGGGAUUGUCCCCCUUCUCUAUCUGUAAUGGAAAGUUGAACUCAUGCACCAUUGGAGAAGACUUCUUAAAAACAGUGCCAUUUCUUAUAAUGAGAAAUCCUGAAUCUCCAAUAUUAGCCACAUGUAAAGCCUGACCAUCAAAAUAAGCAACCAAAGCUGUGGAUGAUCCAAGAGAUUUUGUUUCCAUGGCAGCUUUAUCAAGAACUUGCACCGGGUUAGUUAUUAGGGUGCUUUUGCUAUAAACCACAAUUUUCCCACAGUUAUUUAUCAACUCUUGGGCAUAUAGUCCAGCAUUAGUUCCUUCAAGUGACCACUGUCCGACUCCAUCAGCAAUACCGAGCCAGUUUUUAUCAACAAAAUAUGCAUCCUCUCCACCUGUCAAUGCCUUAGAGGGAUGUGGCAGUGAUGCAGCACCACAAAACAUGAAAAAUCCCGACAUAGAGAUUUCCUCCCUAUUUAUAAAACAAAGCAAAGAAAUAUCAAGAGCAGAAUAACAGAACAUACAAUUUAUACAAAUAGGUUACCUCUCUUCUUCUACCUACUAGCUUUUUUGAGGUGGCCAUGAUUUGUGCUUUUUCCAUAUUCCAGAAAACAAUGGAAUAAUAACUGUAAAUUAAUGAAUUAAAAAAAAAUUGAAGAUUUUCCUAAAUUCAGUAUUAGAGUUUAGAAAUCUGAAAUGCCAAGAAAUUGUUCAAAAAGCAAUAGAAAAGUGCUAAGGGGUAAAAGUAAGAGAUUUUAUGGCAAGUCAUCUUAGCUUUCUGCACAAUAAUUUGCUCAAUUAGAAAUGAAAAUAAUGAGGGACAAUCUAAUCACUCAAAUCAGGAUGUACCAAAGAUUAACAAGUAAUUGCUCCCAUUGAAUACCAUAAAAUAAUCAGCAACAUGUUAUAUGAUAUAAUGACAAUUGCCCUAUUUAAGCACACCUCAAGUAAAGAUAUUAAAAUUCCAAAGACUAAGGGUUUGAUUGACAUUAUUGGUGGAGCUAUUCCUAAGUAAAACACCAUCUUGAAUAUAUUUAUGUUGAUUAGAGGGCAUUAUAUAUUGUUCUUACUUAAGGUCAAUUUUACAUGUUUUAGCUAAAAAAACUCCAAAAAAGCUAAUCAGCAAUUUCAAACUGCUCUUGCAAUAGCAUUGAAAAUAGUACCACAUAUACUAUAAAUUGCAAAGAUAGCCAUUCUGCAUAGAAGGCUAAGGACUAACAAUUUGGAGGAAUUGGAAGUACCGUAUCUGAGGGAAAAGGAGAUAGAAAGGAAGUUGGUGACAUACAUAGGCAAAGUAGCUACUCUCAUUUGCGAUUCUUCUACGUGAGGAACUGCCAUAUCUGCAUUAUUACUGCUGUAAUCUCCUCCAGCUAUCUCUUCAACCCAAUUUGAGGAAGGCAGAUUGCCUUCUAACUACAACAAAUAAUGAAACUACAUAUGGUGUAAACAAUUGUUUGCACAUGUGUACUAUGAAAAAUUUUGCAUGUGUUCUUUACAUUCACAGAUACCUGAGGCUUCCUAAUUCCAAACGAAAGUAUGCACAACUAGGAGAUAUGUUUUAGAAGAAUAAAAUCUAUUGUGAUAGUAGAACAUAAAAUCAUCUAGCAGGCUUACUUCUAAUAUUGGAGUCUCAUAUUAUGCAGCAAUCUUGAAAUGAAAAUUUUGAAAUUCUAAGAAUGGGUAGCAUCAAUGAUUAAAAGGGAAAAUAACAGCAUUUCACCCCAAAUUAUUGAAAUUCAGUCGCCAGUCAACAUGAACUUGUCAUGUAUAAACCAUAAACAAAUCAUCACAAGAAUGCAUAUACCAACUAAACAACUCUUCACAAGAGUACGAGGCAUGCAGCAUGAUGCGUCCCACAUCAGUUCUGCAAGGAGCUCUUGAGUGUUAUAUAUAUGGGUU